Molecule: ribosomal RNA, 253 nt
Filed under: uncultured bacterium
Lineage: Bacteria
Description: partial 16S ribosomal RNA
Rfam family: Bacterial small subunit ribosomal RNA
Source: RNAcentral
UACAGAGGUCCCAAGCGUUGUUCGGAUUCAUUGGGCGUAAAGGGUGCGUAGGCGGCGCGGUAAGUCGGGUGUGAAAUCUCGGAGCUUAACUCCGAAACUGCAUUCGAUACUGCCGUGCUUGAGGACUGGAGAGGAGACUGGAAUUUACGAUGUAGCGGUGAAAUGCGUAGAUAUCGUAAGGAAGACCAGUGGCGAAGGCGGGUCUCUGGACAGUUCCUGACGCUGAGGCACGAAGGCCAGGGGAGCAAACGGG